AUGUGUGUCAUCCAAGACACAGAAAUACAAUAUCAUCACUUGUUUAAGCAGAGCUUAAGUAAACUAGUUUUCAGUGAGCUACUUAGUGCAGCAUUCUUCCAAAAGAAAGGAAAGGAACAAAAGCACAUGUGGGCUGGGCAAGCAAGUAUUGUCUUCCUUCUUCUUUUUAAAAACUUCUCUCUAAUGCAAAAUCUCUUUGUUACAGAAAAUCAUGUAAUGUUGAAAGAUAUAAGGAACGAAGCAAAACUUACCCUUUCCAAUUCCGUGGACAAGAAGAGCCUAGAAAGAAACUAG
RNAcentral lists this long non-coding RNA (294 nucleotides) under Fukomys damarensis (Damara mole-rat). Its description in RNAcentral is "lncRNA (ENSFDAG00000032256.1)". The record is from RNAcentral. Lineage: Eukaryota; Metazoa; Chordata; Mammalia; Rodentia; Bathyergidae.